GCGCUUGCUUCGGCGGCACAUAUACUGAAAUUGGAACAAUACAGAGAAGAUUAGCUUGGCCCCUGUUCAAGAAUGACAUGCAAAUUCAUGAAGUGCUCUAUAUUUUU
This 107-nucleotide small nuclear RNA is filed under the name Dasypus novemcinctus (nine-banded armadillo). The record is from RNAcentral. Lineage: Eukaryota; Metazoa; Chordata; Mammalia; Cingulata; Dasypodidae.